GGGUUGUGAGGUUAAGCGACUAAGCGUACACGGUGGAUGCCCUGGCAGUCAGAGGCGAUGAAGGACGUGCUAAUCUGCGAUAAGCGCCGGUAAGGUGAUAUGAACCGUUAUAACCGGCGAUUUCCGAAUGGGGAAACCCAGUGUGAUUCGUCACACUAUCAUUAACUGAAUCCAUAGGUUAAUGAGGCGAACCGGGGGAACUGAAACAUCUAAGUACCCCGAGGAAAAGAAAUCAACCGAGAUUCCCCCAGUAGCGGCGAGCGAACGGGGAGGAGCCCAGAGCCUGAAUCAGCAUGUGUGUUAGUGGAAGCGUCUGGAAAGGCGCGCGAUACAGGGUGACAGCCCCGUACACAAAAGCGCAUGUGCUGUGAGCUCGAUGAGUAGGGCGGGACACGUGGUAUCCUGUCUGAAUAUGGGGGGACCAUCCUCCAAGGCUAAAUACUCCUGACUGACCGAUAGUGAACCAGUACCGUGAGGGAAAGGCGAAAAGAACCCCGGCGAGGGGAGUGAAAAAGAACCUGAAACCGUGUACGUACAAGCAGUGGGAGCACCCUUUGGGGUGUGACUGCGUACCUUUUGUAUAAUGGGUCAGCGACUUAUAUUCUGUAGCAAGGUUAACCGUAUAGGGGAGCCGGAGGGAAACCGAGUCUUAAUUGGGCGUUAAGUUGCAGGGUAUAGACCCGAAACCCGGUGAUCUAGCCAUGGGCAGGUUGAAGGUUGGGUAACACUAACUGGAGGACCGAACCGACUAAUGUUGAAAAAUUAGCGGAUGACCUGUGGCUGGGGGUGAAAGGCCAAUCAAACCGGGAGAUAGCUGGUUCUCCCCGAAAGCUAUUUAGGUAGCGCCUCGUGAAUUCAUCUCCGGGGGUAGAGCACUGUUUCGGCUAGGGGGCCAUCCCGGCUUACCAACCCGAUGCAAACUGCGAAUACCGGAGAAUGUUAUCACGGGAGACACACGGCGGGUGCUAACGUCCGUCGUGAAGAGGGAAACAACCCAGACCGCCAGCUAAGGUCCCAAAGUCAUGGUUAAGUGGGAAACGAUGUGGGAAGGCCCAGACAGCCAGGAUGUUGGCUUAGAAGCAGCCAUCAUUUAAAGAAAGCGUAAUAGCUCACUGGUCGAGUCGGCCUGCGCGGAAGAUGUAACGGGGCUAAACCAUGCACCGAAGCUGCGGCAGCGACACUGUGUGUUGUUGGGUAGGGGAGCGUUCUGUAAGCCUGUGAAGGUGGCCUGUGAGGGUUGCUGGAGGUAUCAGAAGUGCGAAUGCUGACAUAAGUAACGAUAAAGCGGGUGAAAAGCCCGCUCGCCGGAAGACCAAGGGUUCCUGUCCAACGUUAAUCGGGGCAGGGUGAGUCGACCCCUAAGGCGAGGCCGAAAGGCGUAGUCGAUGGGAAACGGGUUAAUAUUCCCGUACUUGGUGUUACUGCGAAGGGGGGACGGAGAAGGCUAUGUUGGCCGGGCGACGGUUGUCCCGGUUUAAGCGUGUAGGCUGGUUUUCCAGGCAAAUCCGGAAAAUCAAGGCUGAGGCGUGAUGACGAGGCACUACGGUGCUGAAGCAACAAAUGCCCUGCUUCCAGGAAAAGCCUCUAAGCAUCAGGUAACAUCAAAUCGUACCCCAAACCGACACAGGUGGUCAGGUAGAGAAUACCAAGGCGCUUGA
RNAcentral lists this ribosomal RNA (1658 nucleotides) under Salmonella enterica subsp. enterica serovar Senftenberg. Its description in RNAcentral is "partial 23S ribosomal RNA". It matches the Rfam family "Bacterial large subunit ribosomal RNA", at positions 1 to 1693 of the family's 2925-position model. Lineage: Bacteria; Pseudomonadati; Pseudomonadota; Gammaproteobacteria; Enterobacterales; Enterobacteriaceae. The record is from RNAcentral.